GACGAACGCUGGCGGCGUGCCUAAUACAUGCAAGUUGAGCGAUUAAGAUUGGUGCUUGCACCAAUUUGAAGAGCAGCGCACGGGUGAGUAACGCGUGGGUAAUCUGCCUUUGAGCGGGGGACAACAUUUGGAAACGAAUGCUAAUACCGCAUAACAACUUUAAACAUAAGUUUUAAGUUUGAAAGAUGCAAUUGCAUCACUCAAAGAUGAUCCCGCGUUGUAUUAGCUAGUUGGUGAGGUAAAGGCUCACCAAGGCGAUGAUACAUAGCCGACCUGGGAGGGUGAUCGGCCAAAUUGGGACUGAGACACGGCCCAAACUCCUAAGGGAGGCAGCAGUAGGGAAUCUUCGGACAGGGACGAAAGGCUGAACGAGCAACGCCGCGUGAGGGAAGAAGGUUUUCGGAUCGGAAAACUCUGUUGGUAGAGAAGAACGUUGGUGAGAGUGGAAAGCUCAUCAAGUGACGGUAACUACCCAGAAAGGGACGGCUAACUACGUG
Molecule: ribosomal RNA, 497 nt
Filed under: uncultured bacterium
Lineage: Bacteria
Description: partial 16S ribosomal RNA
Rfam family: Bacterial small subunit ribosomal RNA
Source: RNAcentral